GAUGAAGAACGCAGCGAAAUGCGAUAAGUAGUGUGAAUCGCAGAAUUCAGUGAAUCAUCGAAUCUUUGAACGCACAUUGCGCCCCUUGGUAUUCCAUGGGGCAUGCCUGUUCGAGCGUCAUUUGUACCUUCAAGCUCUGCUUGGUGUUGGGUGUUUGUCUCGCCUCUGCGUGUAGACUCGCCUCAAAACAAUUGGCAGCCGGCGUAUUGAUUUCGGAGCGCAGCACAUCUCGCGCUUUGCACUCAUAACGACGACGUCCAAAAGUACAUUUUUACACUCUUGACCUCGGAUCAGGUAGGGAUACCCGCUGAACUUAAGCAUAUCAAUAGCGGAGGA
This 336-nucleotide unclassified non-coding RNA is filed under the name soil metagenome. Its description in RNAcentral is "partial contains 5.8S ribosomal RNA, internal transcribed spacer 2, and large subunit ribosomal RNA". The stretch from base 1 to 120 matches the Rfam family "5.8S ribosomal RNA", at positions 35 to 154 of the family's 154-position model. The record is from RNAcentral.